UAUCAUAUCUCCCCAGAAUGACCAGCAUGUUCCUUCUGGUUAUAUUCCUUGGCACCAUUGAUCUCAGCCUCCAGCAGUUGCAAAGCCUGAAGGACACAGAAUCGGUGACACUUGGUGGGACGGUCACCAUAUCUUGCAGAUACAGUCUUGGAAGCAUUUCUGACAGCAAUUACCCUUGGUGGGCCCAGCAAAAACUAGGGAAACCACCCCAGACUGUGAUUUAUCACACCAGUAUCAAACCGUCUGAUGUGCCAGCCCGUUUCUCCGGGUCCAUCUCAGGAAAUGUGAUGUCCCUGACCAUAACAGGGGCCUUGGCAGAAGAUGAAGCUUUCUAUUACUGCUGCUUAAACCCAGGGGGUUCAUGGCACAGUCAUUCACUGCAGUGUGGAAGCAAGACAAAACCUCUCCCUUUCUUUGCUCUCUUCAAGCAUCGUUAG
This is a non-coding RNA of Python bivittatus (Burmese python), 437 nucleotides long. The record is from the annotation of a RefSeq genome assembly. Lineage: Eukaryota; Metazoa; Chordata; Lepidosauria; Squamata; Pythonidae.